AUUGAACGCUGGCGGCAGGCCUAACACAUGCAAGUCGAGCGGAUGAAGGGAGCUUGCUCCUGGAUUCAGCGGCGGACGGGUGAGUAAUGCCUAGGAAUCUGCCUGGUAGUGGGGGAUAACGUCCGGAAACGGGCGCUAAUACCGCAUACGUCCUGAGGGAGAAAGUGGGGGAUCUUCGGACCGCACGCUAUCAGAUGAGCCUAGGUCGGAUUAGCUAGUUGGUGGGGUAAAGGCCUACCAAGGCGACGAUCCGUAACUGGUCUGAGAGGAUGAUCAGUCACACUGGAACUGAGACACGGUCCAGACUCCUACGGGAGGCAGCAGUGGGGAAUAUUGGACAAUGGGCGAAAGCCUGAUCCAGCCACGCCGCGUGUGUGAAGAAGGUCUUCGGAUUGUAAAGCACUUUAAGUUGGGAGGAAGGGCAGUAAGUUAAUACCUUGCUGUUUUGACGUUACCAACAGAGUAAGCACCGGCUAACUUCGUG
Molecule: ribosomal RNA, 484 nt
Filed under: uncultured bacterium
Lineage: Bacteria
Description: partial 16S ribosomal RNA
Rfam family: Bacterial small subunit ribosomal RNA
Source: RNAcentral